CAGGGUGACAGCCCCGUACACAAAAAUGCACAUGCUGUGAGCUCGAUGAGUAGGGCGGGACACGUGGUAUCCUGUCUGAAUAUGGGGGGACCAUCCUCCAAGGCUAAAUACUCCUGACUGACCGAUAGUGAACCAGUACCGUGAGGGAAAGGCGAAAAGAACCCCGGCGAGGGGAGUGAAAAAGAACCUGAAACCGUGUACGUACAAGCAGUGGGAGCCUCUUUAUGGGGUGACUGCGUACCUUUUGUAUAAUGGGUCAGCGACUUAUAUUCUGUAGCAAGGUUAACCGAAUAGGGGAGCCGAAGGGAAACCGAGUCUUAACUGGGCGUUAAGUUGCAGGGUAUAGACCCGAAACCCGGUGAUCUAGCCAUGGGCAGGUUGAAGGUUGGGUAACACUAACUGGAGGACCGAACCGACUAAUGUUGAAAAAUUAGCGGAUGACUUGUGGCUGGGGGUGAAAGGCCAAUCAAACCGGGAGAUAGCUGGUUCUCCCCGAAAGCUAUUUAGGUAGCGCCUCGUGAACUCAUCUCCGGGGGUAGAGCACUGUUUCGGCAAGGGGGUCAUCCCGACUUACCAACCCGAUGCAAACUGCGAAUACCGGAGAAUGUUAUCACGGGAGACACACGGCGGGUGCUAACGUCCGUCGUGAAGAGGGAAACAACCCAGACCGCCAGCUAAGGUCCCAAAGUCAUGGUUAAGUGGGAAACGAUGUGGGAAGGCCCAGACAGCCAGGAUGUUGGGUUAGAAGCAGCCAUCAUUUAAAGAAAGCGUAAUAGCUCACUGGUCGAGUCGGCCUGCGCGGAAGAUGUAACGGGGCUAAACCAUGCACCGAAGCUGCGGCAGCGACGCUUAUGCGUUGUUGGGUAGGGGAGCGUUCUGUAAGCCUGCGAAGGUGUGCUGUGAGGCAUGCUAGAGGUAUCAGAAGUGCGAAUGCUGACAUAAGUAACGAUAAAGCGGGUGAAAAGCCCGCUCGCCGGAAGACCAAGGGUUCCUGUCCAACGUUAAUCGGGGCAGGGUGAGUCGACCCCUAAGGCGAGGCCGAAAGGCGUAGUCGAUGGGAAACAGGUUAAUAUUCCUGUACUUGGUGUUACUGCGAAGGGGGGACGGAGAAGGCUAUGUUGGCCGGGCGACGGUUGUCCCGGUUUAAGCGUGUAGGCUGGUUUUCCAGGCAAAUCCGGAAAAUCAAGGCUGAGGCGUGAUGACGAGGCACUACGGUGCUGAAGCAACAAAUGCCCUGCUUCCAGGAAAAGCCUCUAAGCAUCAGGUAACAUCAAAUCGUACCCCAAACCGACACAGGUGGUCAGGUAGAGAAUACCAAGGCGCUUGAGAGAACUCGGGUGAAGGAACUAGGCAAAAUGGUGCCGUAACUUCGGGAGAAGGCACGCUGAUACGUAGGUGAAGCGACUUGCUCGUGGAGCUGAAAUCAGUCGAAGAUACCAGCUGGCUGCAACUGUUUAUUAAAAACACAGCACUGUGCAAACACGAAAGUGGACGUAUACGGUGUGACGCCUGCCCGGUGCCGGAAGGUUAAUUGAUGGGGUUAGCGGUAACGCGAAGCUCUUGAUCGAAGCCCCGGUAAACGGCGGCCGUAACUAUAACGGUCCUAAGGUAGCGAAAUUCCUUGUCGGGUAAGUUCCGACCUGCACGAAUGGCGUAAUGAUGGCCAGGCUGUCUCCACCCGAGACUCAGUGAAAUUGAACUCGCUGUGAAGAUGCAGUGUACCCGCGGCAAGACGGAAAGACCCCGUGAACCUUUACUAUAGCUUGACACUGAACAUUGAGCCUUGAUGUGUAGGAUAGGUGGGAGGCUUUGAAGUGUGGACGCCAGUCUGCAUGGAGCCGACCUUGAAAUACCACCCUUUAAUGUUUGAUGUUCUAACGUUGGCCCCUAAUCGGGGUUGCGGACAGUGUCUGGUGGGUAGUUUGACUGGGGCGGUCUCCUCCUAAAGAGUAACGGAGGAGCACGAAGGUUGGCUAAUCCUGGUCGGACAUCAGGAGGUUAGUGCAAUGGCAUAAGCCAGCUUGACUGCGAGCGUGACGGCGCGAGCAGGUGCGAAAGCAGGUCAUAGUGAUCCGGUGGUUCUGAAUGGAAGGGCCAUCGCUCAACGGAUAAAAGGUACUCCGGGGAUAACAGGCUGAUACCGCCCAAGAGUUCAUAUCGACGGCGGUGUUUGGCACCUCGAUGUCGGCUCAUCACAUCCUGGGGCUGAAGUAGGUCCCAAGGGUAUGGCUGUUCGCCAUUUAAAGUGGUACGCGAGCUGGGUUUAGAACGUCGUGAGACAGUUCGGUCCCUAUCUGCCGUGGGCGCUGGAGAACUGAGGGGGGCUGCUCCUAGUACGAGAGGACCGGAGUGGACGCAUCACUGGUGUUCGGGUUGUCAUGCCAAUGGCACUGCCCGGUAGCUAAAUGCGGAAGAGAUAAGUGCUGAAAGCAUCUAAGCACGAAACUUGCCCCGAGAUGAGUUCUCCCUGACUCCUUGAGAGUCCUGAAGGAACGUUGAAGACGACGACGUUGAUAGGCCGGGUGUGUAAGCGCAGCGAUGCGUUGAGCUAACCGGUACUAAUGAACCGUGAGGCUUAACCUU
RNAcentral lists this ribosomal RNA (2583 nucleotides) under Escherichia coli KTE170. RNAcentral describes it as "bacterial LSU rRNA". It matches the Rfam family "Bacterial large subunit ribosomal RNA", at positions 360 to 2925 of the family's 2925-position model. The record is from RNAcentral. Lineage: Bacteria; Pseudomonadati; Pseudomonadota; Gammaproteobacteria; Enterobacterales; Enterobacteriaceae.